CGGGACGGGUGAGUAAUGCCUGGGAAACUGCCUGAUGGAGGGGGGUAACUACUGGAAACGGUAGCUAAUACCGCAUAACGUCGCAAGACCAAAGAGGGGGACCUUCGGGCCUCUUGCCAUCGGAUGUGCCCAGAUGGGAUUAGCUAGUAGGUGGGGUAACGGCUCACCUAGGCGACGAUCCCUAGCUGGUCUGAGAGGAUGGCCAGCCACACUGGAACUGAGACACGGUCCAG
This 233-nucleotide ribosomal RNA is filed under the name uncultured bacterium. Its description in RNAcentral is "partial 16S ribosomal RNA". It matches the Rfam family "Bacterial small subunit ribosomal RNA", at positions 100 to 334 of the family's 1533-position model. The record is from RNAcentral.